Long non-coding RNA from Malus domestica (apple), 553 nucleotides. RefSeq lists it as uncharacterized. The record is from RefSeq and is a predicted model, not a curated record. Lineage: Eukaryota; Viridiplantae; Streptophyta; Magnoliopsida; Rosales; Rosaceae.
GCCUUCCUUCGUAGUUCUUAAGUAGUACCUUUCACUCUUAUCACAACAAAUAUAUUCUCGAUUCUUCUUUUCAUCAUGCAAAUAUUAUAUUAGUGCGAGAACCAUAUAUAAAUCUCAUAUCUAUAUAAACUAGUGAAAAUAUAUGCAGUUGUGUUUCUCUCUGGUGUUUCACUGAUCGAUCAUUGUCUUGUGUUGGAGAUGAAUGAGCCUAAGUAUGGUUACCCGUAUCCACCUGCUCAAGGGCCUUAUCAAGGACCUCCUGUGAUGGCUCCUCCACAAUAUAAUGCUGCUCCACCACCAAAAAGAGAACCAGGUUUCCUUGAAGGAUGCCUUGCAGCGUUGUGUUGCUGUUGUCUCUUGGAUGAGUGUUGCUGCGACCCCUCCAUUAUAUUUGUUACCUGAUAAUGUUAUCAUCUUUUGGAACAAAUUGAAGGGACAGUUUGUGUUUCAUGUCUUUAAAUACACACAAAUUUGUACCGACCAUCAAAACAUAUACCUGUAUCUUUAUAAAUAUAUGUUUGAGUACCACUAAAUAUAUUUAUGUUUGUGUGAA